GUGCUUAACACAUGCAAGUCGAGUGCGCGCCUGUAGCAAUACAGGUGGCGCACGGCGCACGGGUGCGUAACACGUGGGCAAUCUGCCCUUCGAUGGGGAAUAACUCCGGGAAACCGGAGCUAAUUCCGCAUAACAUUCCUUGGACUGCGGUUCGAGGACUCAAAGCCGUAAGGCGUCGAAGGAGGAGCCCGCGCCCGAUUAGCUAGUUGGCGAGGUAAUGGCUCACCAAGGCAAUGAUCGGUAGCUGGUCUGAGAGGAUGGCCAGCCACACUGGAACUGAGACACGGUCCUU
Molecule: ribosomal RNA, 292 nt
Filed under: uncultured bacterium
Lineage: Bacteria
Description: partial 16S ribosomal RNA
Rfam family: Bacterial small subunit ribosomal RNA
Source: RNAcentral